GGCUAGCUCAAUCGGUAGAGCGUGAGACUCUUAAUCUCAAGGUUGUGGGUUCGACCCGUAAGCUU
This 65-nucleotide transfer RNA is filed under the name Colletotrichum lupini. RNAcentral describes it as "tRNA-Lys". The stretch from base 4 to 59 matches the Rfam family "tRNA", at positions 8 to 63 of the family's 71-position model. Rfam says of the family: Transfer RNA (tRNA) molecules are approximately 80 nucleotides in length. Their secondary structure includes four short double-helical elements and three loops (D, anti-codon, and T loops). Further hydrogen bonds mediate the characteristic L-shaped molecular structure. tRNAs have two regions of fundamental functional importance: the anti-codon, which is responsible for specific mRNA codon recognition, and the 3' end, to which the tRNAs corresponding amino acid is attached (by aminoacyl-tRNA synthetases). tRNAs cope with the degeneracy of the genetic code in two manners: having more than one tRNA (with a specific anti-codon) for a particular amino acid; and 'wobble' base-pairing, i.e. permitting non-standard base-pairing at the 3rd anti-codon position. Lineage: Eukaryota; Fungi; Ascomycota; Sordariomycetes; Glomerellales; Glomerellaceae. The record is from RNAcentral. RNAcentral also lists the same sequence under 1 other name.